Molecule: ribosomal RNA, 1716 nt
Filed under: Salmonella enterica
Lineage: Bacteria; Pseudomonadati; Pseudomonadota; Gammaproteobacteria; Enterobacterales; Enterobacteriaceae
Description: partial 23S ribosomal RNA
Rfam family: Bacterial large subunit ribosomal RNA
Source: RNAcentral
CUGUAAGCCUGCGAAGGUGGCCUGUGAGGGUUGCUGGAGGUAUCAGAAGUGCGAAUGCUGACAUAAGUAACGAUAAAGCGGGUGAAAAGCCCGCUCGCCGGAAGACCAAGGGUUCCUGUCCAACGUUAAUCGGGGCAGGGUGAGUCGACCCCUAAGGCGAGGCCGAAAGGCGUAGUCGAUGGGAAACGGGUUAAUAUUCCCGUACUUGGUGUUACUGCGAAGGGGGGACGGAGAAGGCUAUGUUGGCCGGGCGACGGUUGUCCCGGUUUAAGCGUGUAGGUGUGUGUUCCAGGUAAAUCCGGUUCACUUUAACACUGAGGCGUGAUGACGAGGCACUACGGUGCUGAAGCAACAAAUGCCCUGCUUCCAGGAAAAGCCUCUAAGCAUCAGGUAACAUCAAAUCGUACCCCAAACCGACACAGGUGGUCAGGUAGAGAAUACCAAGGCGCUUGAGAGAACUCGGGUGAAGGAACUAGGCAAAAUGGUGCCGUAACUUCGGGAGAAGGCACGCUGACACGUAGGUGAAGUGAUUUACUCAUGGAGCUGAAGUCAGUCGAAGAUACCAGCUGGCUGCAACUGUUUAUUAAAAACACAGCACUGUGCAAACACGAAAGUGGACGUAUACGGUGUGACGCCUGCCCGGUGCCGGAAGGUUAAUUGAUGGGGUCAGCGCAAGCGAAGCUCCUGAUCGAAGCCCCGGUAAACGGCGGCCGUAACUAUAACGGUCCUAAGGUAGCGAAAUUCCUUGUCGGGUAAGUUCCGACCUGCACGAAUGGCGUAAUGAUGGCCAGGCUGUCUCCACCCGAGACUCAGUGAAAUUGAACUCGCUGUGAAGAUGCAGUGUACCCGCGGCAAGACGGAAAGACCCCGUGAACCUUUACUAUAGCUUGACACUGAACAUUGAGCCUUGAUGUGUAGGAUAGGUGGGAGGCUUUGAAGUGUGGACGCCAGUCUGCAUGGAGCCGGCCUUGAAAUACCACCCUUUAAUGUUUGAUGUUCUAACGUGGACCCGUGAUCCGGGUUGCGGACAGUGUCUGGUGGGUAGUUUGACUGGGGCGGUCUCCUCCUAAAGAGUAACGGAGGAGCACGAAGGUUGGCUAAUCCUGGUCGGACAUCAGGAGGUUAGUGCAAUGGCAUAAGCCAGCUUGACUGCGAGCGUGACGGCGCGAGCAGGUGCGAAAGCAGGUCAUAGUGAUCCGGUGGUUCUGAAUGGAAGGGCCAUCGCUCAACGGAUAAAAGGUACUCCGGGGAUAACAGGCUGAUACCGCCCAAGAGUUCAUAUCGACGGCGGUGUUUGGCACCUCGAUGUCGGCUCAUCACAUCCUGGGGCUGAAGUAGGUCCCAAGGGUAUGGCUGUUCGCCAUUUAAAGUGGUACGCGAGCUGGGUUUAGAACGUCGUGAGACAGUUCGGUCCCUAUCUGCCGUGGGCGCUGGAGAACUGAGGGGGGCUGCUCCUAGUACGAGAGGACCGGAGUGGACGCAUCACUGGUGUUCGGGUUGUCAUGCCAAUGGCACUGCCCGGUAGCUAAAUGCGGAAGAGAUAAGUGCUGAAAGCAUCUAAGCACGAAACUUGCCCCGAGAUGAGUUCUCCCUGAGACUUAGAGUCUCCUGAAGGAACGUUGAAGACGACGACGUUGAUAGGCCGGGUGUGUAAGCGCAGCGAUGCGUUGAGCUAACCGGUACUAAUGAACCGUGAGGCUUAACCUUACAACGCCG